Molecule: ribosomal RNA, 443 nt
Filed under: uncultured bacterium
Lineage: Bacteria
Description: partial 16S ribosomal RNA
Rfam family: Bacterial small subunit ribosomal RNA
Source: RNAcentral
CCUACGGGGGGCAGCAGUGGGGAAUAUUGGGCAAUGGGCGCAAGCCUGACCCAGCAACGCCGCGUGAAGGAAGAAGGCUUUCGGGUUGUAAACUUCUUUUCUCAGGGACGAAGCAAGUGACGGUACCUGAGGAAUAAGCCACGGCUAACUACGUGCCAGCAGCCGCGGUAAUACGUAGGUGGCAAGCGUUAUCCGGAUUUACUGGGGGUAAAGGGCGUGUAGGCGGGAAAGCAAGUCAGAUGUGAAAACCAUGGGGCUAACCUGUGGCCUGCAUUUGAAACUGUUUUUCUUGAGUACUGGAGAGGCAGAAGGAAUUCCUAGUGGUGCGGGGAAAUGCGUAGAUAUUAGGAGGGAAACCAGUGGCGAAGGCCGUCUGCUGGACAGCAACUGACGCUGAGGCGCGAAAGCGUGGGGAGCAAACAGGAUUAGAUACCCUUGUAGUC